This 380-nucleotide ribosomal RNA is filed under the name uncultured bacterium. Its description in RNAcentral is "bacterial SSU rRNA". It matches the Rfam family "Bacterial small subunit ribosomal RNA", at positions 42 to 454 of the family's 1533-position model. The record is from RNAcentral.
UCAGGCCUAACACAUGCAAGUCGAGCGCCCCGCAAGGGGAGCGGCAGACGGGUGAGUAACGCGUGGGAAUCUACCCAUCCCUACGGAAUAACGCAUGGAAACGUGUGCUAAUACCGUAUACGCCCUUUGGGGGAAAGAUUUAUCGGGGAUGGAUGAGCCCGCGUUGGAUUAGCUAGUUGGUGGGGUAAAGGCCUACCAAGGCGACGAUCCAUAGCUGGUCUGAGAGGAUGAUCAGCCACAUUGGGACUGAGACACGGCCCAAACUCCUACGGGAGGCAGCAGUGGGGAAUAUUGGACAAGGGGCGCAAGCCUGAUCCAGCCAUGCCGCGUGAGUAUAAGGGCCCUAGGGUUGUAAAGCUCUUCACCGGUGAAGAUAAUGA